UUAUAAGAGACAGCAGCAGCCACGGGAAUACGAAGGGUGCAAGCGUUAAUCGGAAUUACUGGGCGUAAAGCGUGCGUAGGCGGUGAGUUAAGUCUGCCGUGAAAUCCCCGGGCUCAACCUGGGAAUGGCAGUGGAUACUGGCUCGCUAGAGUGUGUCAGAGGAUGGUGGAAUUCCCGGUGUAGCGGUGAAAUGCGUAGAGAUCGGGAGGAACAUCAGUGGCGAAGGCGGCCAUCUGGGACAACACUGACGCUGAGGCACGAAAGCGUGGGGAGCAAACAGGAUUAGAUACCCCCGUAGUCCCUGUCUCUUAUAC
This 314-nucleotide ribosomal RNA is filed under the name uncultured bacterium. RNAcentral describes it as "partial 16S ribosomal RNA". It matches the Rfam family "Bacterial small subunit ribosomal RNA", at positions 499 to 807 of the family's 1533-position model. The record is from RNAcentral.